GGGAAUGUGGCUCAGUAGUAGAGUGCUUGCCUACCAUGCAUGAAGCCCUGGGUUCGAUUCCUUAGUAUCCCA
Non-coding RNA from Dipodomys ordii (Ord's kangaroo rat), 72 nucleotides. The record is from Rfam. NCBI's taxonomy places the organism in Eukaryota, Metazoa, Chordata, Mammalia, Rodentia, Heteromyidae.